Molecule: ribosomal RNA, 519 nt
Filed under: Teleophrys ruber
Lineage: Eukaryota; Metazoa; Arthropoda; Malacostraca; Decapoda; Mithracidae
Description: partial 16S ribosomal RNA
Rfam family: Bacterial large subunit ribosomal RNA
Source: RNAcentral
GUCUUCGUGUUAGUAGAGGUAUAUGAAGUCUGGCCUGCUCGCUGAGUCUAACUUGAAGAGCCGCGGUAUCUUGACCGUGCAAAGGUAGCAUAAUCAUUAGUUUUUUAAUUGGAAACUCGUAUGAAUGGUUAAACAAAAGAAAUACUGUCUGCUUUAUUAAAGUUUGAAUUUAACUUUUAAGUGAAAAGGCUUAAAAUUACUCAAAGGGACGAUAAGACCCUAUAAAGCUUUAUAAAUAAUUAGUAAUUUAGUAAAAUAAACUAUAAAACAUAUUUUUAAAUAUUUAUUAUGUUGGGGCGACACAGAUAUAAUUUUAGUAACUAUCAGAUAAAUAAACAAUUAUUUUUGAAUAAAAUGAUCCUUAAAUUAAGAUUAGAAGACAAAGUUACUUUAGGGAUAACAGCGUUAUUCUUUUUGAGAGUCCCUAUCGAAAAAAGAGUUUGCGACCUCGAUGUUGAAUCAUAAAAUCUUUACAAUGCAGAAGUUGUAAAAGAAGGUCUGUUCGACCUUUAAAUUUUU